Molecule: long non-coding RNA, 1102 nt
Organism: Xiphias gladius (swordfish)
Lineage: Eukaryota; Metazoa; Chordata; Actinopteri; Istiophoriformes; Xiphiidae
Exons: 3
Source: RefSeq, a predicted model, not a curated record
AACAACCAUUCAUGCUCACAUUCGCACCUGUGGGUAAUUUAGAGUCGCCAAUCAACCUAACUUGCAUGUGUUUGGAUUGUGGUAGGAAACAGGAGCACCCAGAGGAAACCCACGCAGGCACGGGGAGAAUAUGCAAACUCCACACAGGAAGGUCCCAGUCAAACCAGGUGCUGUGACUCAGCUACACUACCAUUGCAAAGCAACUUCACGGUCAUUAGGGACCAGCUGAGAGUGCUGAAGCUGGCUGGCAGGUAACCAGAAGAAUGGACAUCUCCGCAAAAAUCAGGAGGAUACAAGCUAACAGCCCUAGUGAGGAAUCGGAGGGACUUCCCUGAAAGUAGAGCUAUGUGUUUCACAGAGAAUGGCUGCAGGAAGAUACUCUGCAUCCCAUCGCUACCAUUGACAGCUUUCAGACAGUGUGGACAGUUAGAAAUAACUCUGAGAGCGGAAAGAAAAGAGACAUCCAUACUACAUACCCAGGGAGUUCUCACACGCCAUCUGGGUUGCGAGACUCCAGACUCUGCACCCCAGUGCUCUUUUCAUGAUUUCCGGGGAGUUCAAUCUCGUGACAGUGGACAAGAUCCUUACUCCCACUUUCACUAAUUUUGUGGACUGCAUUUCCAGAGGUGACAGGACCCUGGACCUGCUGCAUGCAGGCACAGUGGGUUUCUACGGCAUAAACAAGGAACAACCAGCAUAUGAGGAAUCCAUUCUAUCCCUCACGGUGUAUGUUGAUGUAGCCAAUCACAUAAUACAGAUGUUAUUUCAUAUUUAUGUAUUGAGAUAAUGCAUGAGUAUAAAAUAUGGCAUGAUUGUCAGACAACUGAAAUAGAAAGGUGUCAGUUACAAACUGUAUUGUUACCAGCUGUACUGAAACACAAAAUACAUUAUGAAAAAGCAGUGGAGUGUUGCUUCACCCUCCAAAGACUAAAGCUUCUUUCACACAUGAAAUGCAAACCUGAACUUAUUAUGUCUGACAUGACCUGCAGGAGUUGUGUGUGUGAACGCCAAUAUACGAAUUAGUUGGACCAGAAAUUAAACUUCACCCUGCCAGCUCCCUAGUACAAAGUCUGUGUAAUGUCCAAUUGAGCCAUUGUAAUGU